GAUGAACGCUGGCGGCGUGCCUAAUACAUGCAAGUCGAGCGAACAGACGAGGAGCUUGCUCCUCUGACGUUAGCGGCGGACGGGUGAGUAACACGUGGAUAACCUACCUAUAAGACUGGGAUAACUUCGGGAAACCGGAGCUAAUACCGGAUAAUAUAUUGAACCGCAUGGUUCAAUAGUGAAAGACGGUUUUGCUGUCACUUAUAGAUGGAUCCGCGCCGCAUUAGCUAGUUGGUAAGGUAACGGCUUACCAAGGCAACGAUGCGUAGCCGACCUGAGAGGGUGAUCGGCCACACUGGAACUGAGACACGGUCCAGACUCCUACGGGAGGCAGCAGUAGGGAAUCUUCCGCAAUGGGCGAAAGCCUGACGGAGCAACGCCGCGUGAGUGAUGAAGGUCUUCGGAUCGUAAAACUCUGUUAUUAGGGAAGAACAAAUGUGUAAGUAACUAUGAACGUCUUGACGGUACCUAAUCAGAAAGCCACGGCUAACUACGU
RNAcentral lists this ribosomal RNA (496 nucleotides) under uncultured bacterium. RNAcentral's name for it is "partial 16S ribosomal RNA". It matches the Rfam family "Bacterial small subunit ribosomal RNA", at positions 28 to 506 of the family's 1533-position model. The record is from RNAcentral.